Sus scrofa (pig) is the source of this 4717-nucleotide non-coding RNA. NCBI's taxonomy places the organism in Eukaryota, Metazoa, Chordata, Mammalia, Artiodactyla, Suidae. The record is from RefSeq and is a predicted model, not a curated record.
AGCUUCUGAGGGACUGGUCUUGGAGAAGAAUGGAUUUCCUCCUCCACAUCACGUCUGGGAAGGGGCUAGGGGCCCUUGUCCCCACCCUGUGUCCAAGACCUCCCAAUCUUUUCCCUCUUAUGGACACCUCACCCUGCCCCCAACAUCCCCUGGGCGCAGCCAGUGAAAGGGAGGCCCUGACUGCAGGGCUGGCCUGCACGUCCCAGGAUGGGGAGGGACUUCCGCUCUCACGUCCUGCUCUGCCCAGGGCUGGAUGGGGUGAAAGGGACAUUGUCUCCCAGCCCGGGCCGCUCAGCCCUCAAAUUUCCCAGGAGCAACUUUGUGGGAGACCUCUGAGCCUCUACCUGGCCAGCCCCCCAAAGCGAUCCUGUCCCCUCGCUGAGGCCCCAGCCAGCCAGGGCCUGGGGGAGAGCAGCUGGUGCACACAGGUCCUGGUUUGUCUGCUCGAUUCUCAGAUGUCCAGGCUGCCUGUCCUGCAGGGCAUCGUGACCUUCAGUGCAGAAACUUCCCUCUCAGGCCUCCUUCCGAGCCUCCUUCCUCUCCAGGCCUCCCACUGGCCAGGGCCAGCCGCGGUCCCCAGCCCGGGGAGGCCAGGAGCCAAGAGAAGGGGAGGGGGGAAAGGGGAAGGGGGCUGGAGAGGGCCUUGCUGGAGGCCCCUCCCGGGCCUUUUCCUCUGUAGUUCCUGGGUCACUACCGAAGAGCCUCGAGAAGUUCCUCAAUCUUCCCGCUUCUCAGCUUUUGAAGGGGGGGGGGUAGGGGAGACUGCAGCCGCGAGCUGCGAGCCGCGCCCCCAACCCCGGGUUCCGCUCCAAUUUCCCAUCCCACUGGCUCCCCAUAUCCUCCCGUUACAUCCCUGCAGCAACUUUAACGUCCCUGGCUCCUUGGGUGUCCUCAGUUUUCGCCAGGGCCCCCUCCUCCUAGUCCACUGCCCCCUGCAGUACAACCCCAACCGGGCCAGGCAGCAUCACCGGUCCCCUCCCCCUCUCCGUCCUCAGCCCACUUGUGUGGCGCGUGCACAUUGGCAGAACCAGGCGGGUCCAAAGGAAAAAAAAAGAAGAAGUGGGGGUCGGCUACUCGCGACUUUACGGGCGCACGUAGCUCAGGCCUCCGCUGCUGGAGCUAGGACUGGGCGAGGCGAGCCCACGUCACCCCGCCCCCGCCCCGCCCCCUGCCCUAUAAAUUCCGGCUGCAGCCUUCCCCUGCGCUCUCUGCUCCUCCCCGUUCGACAGACAGCCGUGUGUUCCGUGCAUUGCCAGCCGCGUCCCUGAGACACGAUGGUGAAGGUCGGAGUGAACGGGUGAGUUAGGGGGUGGGGCAGGGUGGGGCAGUAAGUACUGCAGCCCCCACCAAAUUGCGUCCGCAGGUCUCGCCCUACCGGGUCUGUGCAAGCAUGUGGGGGACUUGGAUGGGGUGGUCGUACCCCACCCCCAAGGAGAACUCAAGGUCAGCGCUCGGACCUGGAGGAGGCCCUCGCAAGGCCUCGUGUCCCCCAUCCCUGGCUGUUGCGCGUUCUGUAACUCCGCCUCUGCGGAGCCUUCCUCUUCACCUGCCGCAGAUACACAGCCCUGGAGUCUCCAAUUCUUGCUUUGGCCCCAUCCCCUAAUCCCCCAGCUGGGGCUCUUUCUUUCCUUUCGCGCCCUGCGGGGUCACGUGAAGGGGAGGAGCCCAUCCCCCCAGCCGCAACCAGUGCCCCCAGCCGGGCAGCCCCGGGAUGCAGGAGGCACAGCUGCUGUGCAGAACCAGCUGGGAGGGGGCAUCUGCGGUAACCUAGCCGCCAUGUUGCAACUAGGAAGGAAAUGAAUGAACCGCCGUUAGGAAAUCUUCCUGAGUCCUUCAAUCUUUCUCCUUACUUGCCCAUGACUAAGCCUUCUACCCCUGCCUCGUGGGGUGGAGUCUCCUUUAUCCGGUAACCCAGGUCCGGCCACGCUUUCCCCUUCUUAGUCAGCUGGACCUCAGCUCUUAGCAAACUAACCCUAGAGCAUCCCUUCAAGCCCCAGCCAGAUUCCCCCCCCCGGGGAUGAGGGGAUGCUUUUUCUGGAUGGUUCUCUGAUGAAUCAAAAACGGGGCUUUAUGGGGGUGGUCUUGGGUUGUUUCCGGGUUGUUUCCCUUCUCUUUCUCCGGAGAGGUGUGGUAGCGUUGGCUUGGUGCCAUGCCGGGGGAGCUGAGUCAUGGGUACUUAGAAAUUUUCCACAAAAUGGCUCCCGGAGCCGGCGGAGCCGCAGCCCCUGUCUCUGCAUCAGUGCUCCUUGAAGCUGCUUCCUUCCAUCCAUGCCUAGGGUUGACCCCACCCUAAAGGCCAAGCUGUAAAGGUCACCAGGAGGAUUAGAUGUCCGUGAGCCUCGGGAAUCCUGCCCUUCUCCCCAUCCCCUCUUCCAGAAACCAGAUCCCCACUCCACCCUAAGCUGGGGUUAAAUAUAGCUGCCUGACCUUUCUGCAGCUGGGGGCCUGGGCUUCUCCCUCUCCUUCCCCCCCGCUCCCCACACGUCUAUUGCUCCCACUCCUGAUUUUGGGAAAAGAGCUAACAAAGACAGGUUCCUAACAAAUCAGAAGCCCGGGAUUCUGGGUUUGAGAAACGGCUUUCCCUUUUGUAGGAGGGACUUGGGGAAGGGGGGGGGUUUCCCUGGCCAGUUAACUUCUGACCUUUGCUCUUGCCCUUUGAGCUGGGUGAUGCCAAGUGUGCAAGAUUUUGCUCCCUAGAGGGUGUGGCCUGAAGCUGGCCAGAUAGGAACAAGCAUUUACCGACAGUGGGCCUGAGGAAUGCCAUGUGCCGGCCAUGUGCCCAGACUGUAGGUGGCAGCAGCAGUGCACCACCCUGUCACCCCUUAACAGAUUUCAGAUGACCAGGGGGUGUGGGCCUGUCUCGGAGCUUCAUCACCUCUUGGGCAGGAUGGGAGCUUUUCACUUUGUGGCUGUGCUGGGAAGCCAGGCUGGUCUGGCAGGGUUGUGCGAGGAGGAGGAAAUGAGAUCUCCUGGUAGGAAAGUGCCCGCGCUGACAGCGGGCGCGUGGGCCUGGGACUGCUUACAUCUCCAGGAGAGCUCACUCCUCCCUCCUCGCCUCUUGUCCCCCUCAGAUUUGGCCGCAUCGGGCGCCUGGUCACCAGGGCUGCUUUUAACUCUGGCAAAGUGGACAUUGUCGCCAUCAAUGACCCCUUCAUUGACCUCCACUACAUGGUCUACAUGUUCCAGUAUGAUUCCACCCACGGCAAGUUCCACGGCACAGUCAAGGCGGAGAACGGGAAGCUUGUCAUCAAUGGAAAGGCCAUCACCAUCUUCCAGGAGCGAGAUCCCGCCAACAUCAAAUGGGGUGAUGCUGGUGCUACGUAUGUUGUGGAGUCCACUGGUGUCUUCACGACCAUGGAGAAGGCCGGGGUGAGCGGCAGGGAACCGAAAGAGGAGGGGACCUAACCGCGGGGUUGGUGUAGCGGGGAGACUGGGGGAGGCUGACUUGGACCAGGAAAGGGGAAGCCCGGGUGUCUGACUGCUCCUCUGCUGCAGGCUCACUUGAAGGGUGGGGCCAAGAGGGUCAUCAUCUCUGCCCCUUCUGCCGAUGCCCCCAUGUUUGUGAUGGGCGUGAACCAUGAGAAGUAUGACAACUCCCUCAAGAUCGUCAGGUGAGCUUGGUGGAGGGGGCGGGGGGGGUCAUGCUGCGCGGGACCCCGUGGACCUGCCCGUUGACUUGCCUCCCUCGUUUCAGCAAUGCCUCCUGCACCACCAACUGCUUGGCACCCCUGGCCAAGGUCAUCCAUGACCACUUCGGCAUCGUGGAGGGACUCAUGACCACGGUCCAUGCCAUCACUGCCACCCAGAAGACUGUGGAUGGCCCGUCUGGGAAGCUGUGGCGUGAUGGCCGAGGGGCUGCCCAGAACAUCAUCCCUGCUUCUACCGGCGCUGCCAAGGCUGUGGGCAAGGUCAUCCCUGAGCUCAACGGGUGAGGCUCUUUGCUGCUCUCCUGCCCUGGGUGUCUGGGGCACCAGCAGGGGUGGUGCUGACUCUGCUUGCUUCCUCGUGUCCCCAGGAAGCUCACUGGCAUGGCCUUCCGUGUCCCCACCCCCAACGUGUCGGUUGUGGAUCUGACCUGCCGCCUGGAGAAACCUGUAGGUUUGGGUUGGAACAGCUUUGGGGGGCUGAGGGGUUGUAGGAUUGGUACUUGAAUAACCAUCGGUUUUUACCUCAUCAGGCAAAAUAUGAUGACAUCAAGAAGGUGGUGAAGCAGGCGUCCGAGGGCCCCCUCAAGGGCAUCCUGGGCUACACUGAGGACCAGGUACUGAUAGGUCAGGGAACUUGGUGUCCACACGACCCCACUGACCAAGACUGGGUUCCGUAAUUGGCCCUCUUCCUUCCCCAGGUUGUGUCCUGUGACUUCAACAGUGACACUCACUCUUCCACUUUUGAUGCUGGGGCUGGCAUUGCCCUCAACGACCACUUCGUCAAGCUCAUUUCCUGGUACGACAAUGAAUUUGGCUACAGCAACAGGGUGGUGGACCUCAUGGUCCACAUGGCCUCCAAGGAGUAAGAGCCCCUGGACCACCAACCCCAGCAAGAGCACGCGAGGAGGAGAGAGGCCCUCAGCUGCUGGGGAGUCACAGCCCCAACUCGAUCCCCCAACACACCGAGCAUCUCCUGACUUCCAGUUUCCAUCCCAGACCCCCGGAAGAAGGGGAGGGGCUUAGGGAGACCUGCCUCGUCAUGUACCAUCAAUAAAGUACACUGUACCCAG